This 77-nucleotide transfer RNA is filed under the name Cordylochernes scorpioides. Its description in RNAcentral is "tRNA-Gly". The stretch from base 13 to 68 matches the Rfam family "tRNA", at positions 8 to 63 of the family's 71-position model. From Rfam's summary of the family: Transfer RNA (tRNA) molecules are approximately 80 nucleotides in length. Their secondary structure includes four short double-helical elements and three loops (D, anti-codon, and T loops). Lineage: Eukaryota; Metazoa; Arthropoda; Arachnida; Pseudoscorpiones; Chernetidae. The record is from RNAcentral.
ACCGUUUGCCUUUGGUUCAGUGGUAGAAUGCUCGCCUGCCACGCGGGCGCCCCGGGUUCGAUUCCUGGCCGAUGGUU